GCGGGAAUAGCUCAGCUGGAUAGAGUAGUUGGCUUCGAACCAAUUGGUCGGGGGUUCGAAUCCCUCUUCCCGUACCA
Molecule: transfer RNA, 77 nt
Filed under: Bacteriovoracaceae bacterium
Lineage: Bacteria; Pseudomonadati; Bdellovibrionota; Bacteriovoracia; Bacteriovoracales; Bacteriovoracaceae
Description: tRNA-Arg
Rfam family: tRNA
About the family: Transfer RNA (tRNA) molecules are approximately 80 nucleotides in length. Their secondary structure includes four short double-helical elements and three loops (D, anti-codon, and T loops).
Source: RNAcentral